Molecule: ribosomal RNA, 221 nt
Organism: Mesitornis unicolor (brown roatelo)
Lineage: Eukaryota; Metazoa; Chordata; Aves; Mesitornithiformes; Mesitornithidae
Rfam family: Eukaryotic large subunit ribosomal RNA
Source: Rfam
UUUACCCGGUAAAGCGAAUGAUUAGAGGUCUUGGGGCCGAAACGAUCUCAACCUAUUCUCAAACUUUCAAUGGGUAAGGGGGCCGGCUCGCUGGCGUGGAGCCGCGCCGUGGAAUGCGAGUGCUCAGUGGGCCACUUUUGGUAAGCAGAACUGGCGCUGCGGGAUGAACCGAACGCCGGGUUAAGGCGCCCGAUGCCGACGCUCAUCAGAGCCCAGAAAAG